Molecule: ribosomal RNA, 253 nt
Filed under: uncultured bacterium
Lineage: Bacteria
Description: partial 16S ribosomal RNA
Rfam family: Bacterial small subunit ribosomal RNA
Source: RNAcentral
UACGAAGGGUGUAAGCGUUGUUCGGAAUCAUUGGGCGUAAAGCGCGCGCAGGUGGAUCAGUAAGUCAGAUGUGAAAUCUCGAAGCUCAACUUCGAAACUGCGUCUGAAACUGUUAGUUUAGAAUGUCGGAGGGGGUAGGGGAAUUUCACGUGUAGGGGUAAAAUCCGUAGAGAUGUGAAGGAACAUUGGAGGUGAAGGUGUCUGUUUGGAUGAUUAUUGAUGCUGAGGUGCGAAAGCGUGGGGAGCAAACAGG